Molecule: long non-coding RNA, 8074 nt
Filed under: Podarcis lilfordi (Lilford's wall lizard)
Lineage: Eukaryota; Metazoa; Chordata; Lepidosauria; Squamata; Lacertidae
Source: RNAcentral
GAGAAAAGGCUUUUAUUUCUACCAUCCAUGAACUGGUAGAAGGAACAAGUGUGAUAGUUCACAAAAAGCAUGCACGAAGUUCACAGUCAUGUGCACAAGCAUAUAUACCCCUUUCCAGUUCCCUCCUCCUUUCCCAGGAGUCCUGCCCCAUGAGUUCCUCUGAGCAUGAACAGAAAGCUGUCUUGGGACUAUUGGGACUCUUGGCAGGAAAGGGGAAUCAGAACAGUUCAGCAUGUCUAAGAAGUUGCAACUGAAUGAGAUAAGAUUCAUUUCCCAGGCCUGCUAUGAACAGAGCCUAUUCAUUAGCCUUUAAAAGUAACAUUUUGCCUUUUGCCACAGCAUCUUGUGAGAAGAGCAGAGAAAAGCUGUUUUGGAUUUUUUUAGAAGACGAAAGGAGUUUUGAGGCCUGGUUGAUUAUUGAAGCCUGGGGUGAUUUCACAGACAGGAUUUGGGUAUUCUGUCCCUUCAGUAUGGUUAAGAACAGCGGGGUUACAUUUGAUUAGUUUACAUAGGUUUUAACUACGGAUAGAGCUCCGCAGCCAAAAUGGCCGCCAGCCUCGCUUCCUUCUUUCUUCGCUUCUCUCCGGGAGCUUGACGAUCUCCAAACAUCGCGAGACUUCGCCUCGAAAAGCGGCGAGUGACCCAAACCGCCCCGUCAACCCACAAAGGGGCGUGUUCGAAAGGGGGCGGGGCGAAGUCGUGCCUAGGAAACCCCUCCCCUCUGCCGGCAUCAAAUUCCCUCCCCGCUUUUAUUCCUACCCUCAGGUAACCCCGCACCGAAGCGCCAUCAAAAAGCGACGCGAAAGAGAGGAAGGUCCCCGGGCCAUAAUAAUAAUAAAAACCCCCACACACCCUAAAUACAUCUGUGAAGAAAGGCGGAAGGGCCUUUCACCUACGACGUCGCGUCGCCGAUGUGCAGCUCGUGAUGCUUGACGCUGCCUAUUUCACUCGCCUGAUAAGUUUCCCCCCGCCGCGAAAGAGGCCCAUUUGGGAUCGCUGCUCGCGCGAGAGAGACGGCGGGAAAGAGAGGGAGCUAGGCAGGCCCCGGCUCCGAACGCGACCCCGCUGGAGUUGCUCGGCAGAUCAGGCGCGGCUGCCCUCGGCGGGGGCGAAGCUGUGGCAAUGGCUGGUGGCUCCUUAGCCGGAGUCGAGCCUCGGCGCCUGAGGCGGAGCCCGGAUUAGGGAAAGCUGAGGAGAAGGCGGCGGCGGCGGCACUAAUUUCCUCCAUCCCCUCAUUUACCUCAGCCUCCCGGCCGUGAGGAAAGGCCUCUCGCGCCCUCUUCGCUUUCCUUCCCUGGCUGGGUGGGGAUGAGGCGGCAGCCCGGCGGAGGAGGCGGUGGCGGAGGGGGCAGCGGCAGCGGCAGCAGCAGCGCCGGCAGCGGCGCGGGCGGCGACAACAACGACACCGACGACACCGACUUGGAGGGGCGGCCCCCCGCCUAGCCCGGCCCCGCUCCCCCUCCUUCCCCACAGGCUCCCCUCGCCGGGCCUGAAGCGGCGGAGGAUGUCGGAGGAGCCUGACGCGGACAAGAUGAUCAAGGUAGCGGGGCCUGCGGGGCGGCCUUCAUGGACGACGCGCGGAGGGGUGGGCGAGGAGGAAGAGGAGGCCGCUUAAUUGUUCUACUUGAAGCCUGGGCGCAGUGCCUCUGAGCGUGUGCAGAGUUCGGACGGCAGCAGGGCCUGCACCCCCGGCCUCUUGGCAGAUUCAAAACAGAUACGAGAAAGUGUUUGUCCGUGCAGCGCUUGGCUGAACCGCGGAACUCGCGGGAGCCAGUGAUGGCCAUCAACUUGGAUGGCUUGAGAAGAGGAGCCGUGGCAGAUAACCCAGCCAGAUGGGCGGGGUAUAAAUAAUAAAUUAUUAUUAUUAUUAUUAUUAGGCUGUCGGUGGCUACUAUGCACUGCCUCCACAGUCAGAGGCAGUAAAUGCUCAGGAUUAACAGUUGCUGGGAACCACAGGAGCCGAGAGGGCUCUUGGUUUUGGGUCCUGCUUACGGGUUUCCCACAAUAGGCAUCUGUUUGGCUGCUAUGGGAACAGGAUGCUGAGCUAGAUGGGCUCCUUGUGCCUUGAUUCAGCAGGCUCUUUCUUACGUUCUUAUCCUGGACCUUGGCAAUCGUGCAUCUCUUAUAUUUUUUAUUUAUUUAUGGCAACCUUCCCUUCUAACCAGAUGAUGUUGGGCUCUCAUAAACCCAGGGCAGUAGUGGUCAGGAAUGAUGGGAGCUGUAGUCUCAACUACACCUGGAGGCUAUACACUGGGGGAAGACUGACUUAAUGGCAUUUGUAGGUUGCUUUGCGACAUAAAUUUCCCUGGGUGGCUUAUAAUAGGUAAGCUUAAACACAAAUAGGCAUCAAAAAUAGACACAGAUACAACAAAAACAAAACUCUGCAGCUGCAAAGUUAAAUGGAUUUAAAAACGGAGGGCCACAUGUUGUACUUUAUUUUAAAAGCCUGUGCGAAGUGAAUGCUUUUCCAUUGGUGCUGAAAUUAUGGUCUUUUCUCAGGCUAGCUUUCCUGGGAAAUUUGUUCUACAACCAGGGUGCCUCUAUGAAAAAGACCCUCUUCUUGAUGGUUACUUAGAACUGUAGAAUUGUAGAGUUAGAAGGGACUUCAAGGGUCUCACUUCAUUUGACAGAGCACCCAUUAUUCAUAUAUAAUACCUACAAAGCAGCUAGAGUUUUCUAAUCACUAUACUUAUACUUACAAAUAUGAGACAGUCACUGCUCACUGGCUUACAAUCUUAGUGGACACAAUGCAAAACGAAAGAAGGGUACAGAGGAAAGAAGAAAGCAAGUGUUGAAGCAGCUGCUACUUCAAUGGAGAAUGGUUGGGGCCAGGUUGAUCUCCCCCUUGCCAUGAUUCAUGGCCAAUAAGUCACAUGUCCCACAGGUCUGGGCUUGUGGAGUACAGUGACUCAGAGAAUAGUGAAUUAUUAAGCAGAAAUGUGUUCCAGUGCUUACAAGUUUUGUUCUCUGUUAGGAAUAUGAGGAUUAAUUCAGGCAAAAGAAGCUGCCUUAUACCGUAUCUGACCAGUGGUCCAUCUAGCUGACAGUGAUGCUCCAGGAUCUCCGAUAGGAGUCUCCCAGCCCUAUCUGAGAUCCUAGGGAUUGAACCCAGGAUUUUUUGCAUACUCUGUCACUGAGUAGUAGUAGUAGUAGUAGUAGUAGUAGUAGUGUAGAGCCCUUUAUAUAUACACAGCACUUAGCAGAGAAUGAAAGAACACUUCUUUGUUACUAUGGUGUUAGUAUUAUAGCUCCAUUCACAUGCACAGCAUUCCCAAACAAUGAUUCUUAUUAUUGAUUUUGUAAAUUUACUAGGGUCUGUGGCCCAGCUCGCUUCACUUGCCAACCCCACCUACCACUGUGCUUGUAGGACUGGGCCACCUCCCAGGCCACCCGCCCACUUGUUUGCUUCAUCUCUUGUUCCCUCCUUCUCACCCUUUGAAACUGCAGUGAUGGCCCAGCAGCUCUGAGGGCCCAAUUUGUCAUUGUACUGUAGUUUGCAGUGCCCCCUGUGGGUGGCCACACAAACUGCAGCGUGGCCAUGUUCUUAACUAUUUAUUAUAUGCAAGAUAUAUUUCCAUCAAUAUAAGAUGACAGGUCUCUGCCUCAAGUGCUUACGAUCUAAAAUUGGAUAUUGGGGAGACAGCAGAGGGAGGAGGCAGGGGCAAAUAGGAAAAUGUUUGAUUAUUUGGGUUCAACAUAUUUAAUUAAGUAUUCAGUGUUCAAUGGGAAGAGAAGUCUCUGCCCCAAGAUGCUUGUGAUAACAUACACAUGUAUGCCUGCACAAGGGAGACUGUAGAGCAGGCAUGGCCAAACUUGGCCCUCCAGCUGUUUUGGGACUACAACUCGCAUCAUCCCUAGCUAACAGGACCAGUGGUCAGGGAUGAUGGGAAUUGUAGUCCCAAAAACAGCUGGGGGGGCCCAUCACUGCUGUAGAGGAGCAGGAAGGAAAUGUUUAUUGAGGUAAGAAUAUGUGGGUGUUGCUGUACACAUACACUAAAUUUGUACCCCUCUUUAUAGCCCCAGGUGUGGUUAACCUUUGCCCCUCCAGACGUUGCUGAACUGCAACUUCCAUCAACCUCAGUUAGCAUUGCCAAUUGCCACGGUUGAUAGGAGUUGUAGUUCAGCAACAUCCAGAGGGUGAAAUUUCCCCAACACCUAUUGUAGUUGGAUGGCUUUAGAAAUAGAAAAUAUCAAUAAAAAUGUAAAGAAGUUAUGUAUUAAAGACCAGGGGGUCUACAACAGCAUUGGCAUCUAACUGAAACAGAAGAUCAGGAUCUAAAUGCCAGAGAUUCUAAAAUGCCUGUGAGUGUAUAAAGGUGUCUAAGAGCAAGCUGGCUGUCAAUCACACCAUUCAAAGUUGGAAUUAAGUCUUAGUAAAAACAUGAACUGUACAAACUUGGCUGAUGUCAGGUCUAAUGAGCACAUCCCCGGUAGGACUUACCCCAUGAAUCAGUUGUCAAGACCGAAAGCCCCUGCCUCCCCAUAGCCAUCUUAAGUCUCCUCCAGGGCUUUUUCUACGCAGUCGGAAACUGUGCCUGCGUGAAGCCUGCUGCUGCUCCGCCCAUUUCAGCCCUCUUCUGGUUUUGGGAGGAGGGGAGCUAUUGCAGCAGUAGGGGGAGACACCUGUGACUCUUCACCAGCCUGACUCAUCUUGGCCUCCCUUCUCCCACUCGUCUGCUGCAGCUUCUGAUUCUGGACUUCUCUCUGUCACAAACUCUUGGUAUCUGAAGAAGUGUGCAUGCACACGAAAGCUCAUACCAAUAACAGACUUAGUUGGUCUCUAAGGUGCUACUGGAAGGAAUUUUUUAAAUUUUGUUUUGACUACGGCAGACCAAUUGUAACUAGAUUCUCCCAGUUGCAUCUUCAGCUUCUGGCACCUCCUCUUCCCACCUCCCUCUGGCCACUCGUUGUCCCACCCCCAAUCCCUGGGCGCUUUGUUCCCCAGCUGGGCCUUCCUUCCACUUCUCUGCAUCCAACCAGUCCAUGACAAAGGUCAUCACUUGGCAGCAAAAAGACAUAAUGCUGCCUGCCUGUGUUGCUGCCCUUCUCUCCUGCUGCCUCCCCCUUCCCAAUUAAUUAUUAUAUAUCCACAUUUAUUGUACAUGUCUCAUAAACAGCAAAAUGCUAGAGUUACAGCUAAAUAAGAUCCAGCAUAUAAACUGAACAGAACAAAUUGGUAUUGUAGAUUUGUGGAUAUGCUCUUUAUAUAAUUACAAUACAAUUCGGUACUAUAUUACACUAUAUAGGAUUUGCAGCUGGCAUCACAUAGGGCUCUGCCUGAGCUCUCCAAAGAUGAUGCUGUAGUUAAAUGUUUCUUCUUUUCCCUUUUGAAACAGGAAACUUCUAUUUUAGAAGAAUACCAUAUUAACUGGACUCAGAAGCUGGGAGCUGGUAUCAGUGGUCCAGUAAGGUAAGAAGAUGCAUUUUGUUGCUGUGAUUAAACUCUCUGGAUAAUAAUGAAAUACUGAAUGCUUUAAUUGUGCUGUGAGCAGAAAUGGAUAUUCCUUCGCUCAUUUCUUAUUCGGUUUGUGUCAAAACAAAGUUAUUUUGUAACACAUCUUUAAUGCUUUUAUUUAUUAGGCUUCUGUCCCACUAUUGCAUAAGGUUCCCAUCCUCAAUUUGCACAUACAUAACUCCAGCAGUUCACAGGACUCCUUUACAAUGUUUUUUUUAAAAAUAAAUGCAGUAACAUGCCAUUCUCAUAUGUGUUUAAUGACAGCAAAAUGUGACUUUCAGACAUGGUCACACACACCUCCAAAUUGUUUUGGACUGCUUUUGUGCUCAUGCGUAGGAGCAUAAACCACCUUUUAAUCCAGCUACUUAAGUAAGCUAGUUGUGGCCCCAGUAGCUCUUUUUCAUUUUAGGAAGCAUGAAUGGGCCUGAUCAGGCAGGGGUUAUAUUUGGGUUCUGACCAAUCAAAUGACUUUUCCUAUGUUCAUCAGGUGUGGAGAGAUGCCGUGGCUUCCAGGCAGGAUGUUGUGCCCUGUUCAAGGGAUGUUUCCCAACACACUAUGUCCAAACAUUAAUGUAGAAAUAAUGCAGGAGUCUAGAUUGGGAAGGCUUUAGACUCUCUCUCUCUUUCUCUCUCUGUCUUCAAAUGAGGAAUUCAUUCAUAUGUCGGUAGCUUCUUUAUAACUUCCCCACUAACCAAAUGAUUUUGCUGCUAUCUGGACAGAGUCUGCAUGAAAAAAUCGUCUCAAGAACGGUUUGCACUGAAGAUCCUUCUCGAUCGCCCUAAAGCUAGAAAUGAGGUAUAGUCCACUCUUCUUGAAAAAUGUUCUAUAGAUCUGUUGCUCCACUUGUGUGUUCUUCCCCUGCCCACUCAGUUAUCCUAAAACAAUUUAUAGCAGUAAGAAGCACUCCUUAACACACCCCAUUAAAUAUAUGUGGACGGUUGCUGUUUUAUUUAGAGCCACUGUGAUUUCCUAAUUGUCUAAUAAUUUUCUGUCUAUUUUCCAUGUCAAAUAAAACCAGCGUGGCUUACAAUGUAAAAUAAAGCAUAAUGCGUAAUUUUUUAAAAAAUAUAUAUAUAUAUAACUAUUACCCUGUGGGCAUUUCACUUCCUUGGUGAUGUUGGGCACAAUUUGAAGACAUUUUUAUCUGUCGGUGACUUUGGCAAGGGACAAGCUUGCUCCAUCUUCCAUGUGACUGCCCUUUAGAUAUUUGAAGAUGGCUAUCAUAUCUCCUCUCAGUCUGUUCUUUUCUAGGCUAAGCAUACCCAGCUCCCUGAACCGUUCCUCAUAACCGUUCCAGACCCUUUAUCACCCUUCUUAAAAUUGUGGUGCCUAUGUGUGCCUUAUGCCCCAGAAUCCCUCACUCCACACCUGAGGUUUGCUCUGGUUCUGCCUUUAUGGCAGUAAGAUUCCACACAGGAGGAAGCUUGAUGAAAUUGCUCUCCACCCGUACUGAUGUUAGUGGUGGUUCUGGCUGGGCUGAGCUGAAAAUCAACCCCCCACUCAGAUCUGGAAGUGGAGCAGGCAGUGAUAUCCAGCUUACGGGGUCGGGGCUGCUCCUGUCUCACGGUUUCCCCCAUAGACUGUUACUCGUUGCUGGAAUGUGGGUGAAAUUUUGGAGGUGGUCCCAGAUUUCUGACGAACCCACACAUGGGUGCUCGUGGUGAGUUACUCAGAGGCAUUUCUUUAUUUCUUCAAUUCCCCUUCGCUAACUCUGCUGCGUCAAGAAAGUUAUUCAACCUUGCCCUGUUGACCCUUGAAACGCCUGCAGUUGGGAUCAGCUUCCUUGAGCCCAGCUUUUGAGCACCUCACCAGAAGGAAGCAGGGGAGGCUGCUUAGCAGGCUGCUCCACAUACUUCCCAGAGCAGAUGGACCUCUUGGCAAACAUUGCUUUGCUGUAUCUACUUUGCUUGCCUGUUUGUAAUCCUCCUUGUUUUUGCCUGCCUAACGUCUUCUGUAGACUUGGCCAGCCAGCACCCACGUGUGUCUUUCAUUCCGCCAACCAGCCUUGAUUGCCUUGUUGUUCCUCGGCACAAUCGUGCUCCUUUGCCUCUUGCCUGAUUCUACCCUAUACCCCAAGGCUCAGGCUAAGCAUGGGCUUAUCUUGGCUUUAAAAAUACCGGCGCACAUGCAAGGGCAGCCUUCCCCCAGCCUGCUGCCCUCCUGAUGUUACGGAGUAUAACUCCCUUCAGUCCCAGCCAGGAUGGGAGCUCUUGUCCAAAACAUCUGGAGGGCAGCAGGUUGGGGAAGGCUGAUCAAGAACAUGCCAGGCAGCCAGUAUAAACUGGAAAAAUAACUGAGCAUGUGGCUGAUGUGCUUCCCUCAUUGCUAAACUAAGUUGAUUCUCAUGCGCUUAAGAAUUAGAGGUAAGAACUUCAGGAGGGGCAGUGCUCCUCAAGCUGACCUUAAUUCUGCCCGCAGGCAGAGGGGUAUAAAAAUGGGGUGGGGGAGAAGCAAAGAGACAGUUGCUAAGGCGGAUGAGCAUGGCUGCAUUUUAACUUGUCUUCUCUUCUCCAUCAGGUCCGGCUGCACAUGAUGUGUGCGACACAUCCCAAUAUUGUCCAGAUCAUCGAAGUUUAUGCGAACAGUGUGCAGUUCCCUCACGAGUCAAGUCCAAGGUA